GUAAUGGUAAUGACGGAGAAAAGUAGGCCAGUUGGAACCUUACAGGGAGGGGAUGUCAUCGACUGGAAGCAUCCCCAAGGCGAAGGCGGUUGAAGUUCUCUCCCGAACCGGUGAUUUGAAACUGCCUGUCCGGCAGCAAGUAGGGUCACCCGGGACUUCCGCCGUUACAAGGGAGGGUGUAUCGGACUUGGCAUAGUGUGAUCCCGUACAUCUGGCGAGGGGGUCUGGGUGAUACCCGGGCCAACUAGGGUGGUACCGCGGAAGUACAACUUCUCGUCCCUAAU
Molecule: non-coding RNA, 284 nt
Filed under: Clostridiales bacterium
Lineage: Bacteria; Bacillati; Bacillota; Clostridia; Eubacteriales
Description: T-box sequence
Rfam family: T-box leader
About the family: Uncharged tRNA acts as the effector for transcription antitermination of genes in the T-box leader family. T-boxes are found upstream of many aminoacyl-tRNA synthetase genes and some amino acid biosynthetic genes usually in Gram-positive bacteria.
Source: RNAcentral